CCGGCCUCAGGUGCGCCCGGCCGAGCCUCCGCGGAGAGGAGGAUUGGUAGAUCACAGGAAACGGGAGGACGGCGCUGGGCUCCCAGCAGGCGCCCCAUUUUCUUGGCUUGUCGCAAGAGCAGCCGGAGGCGGCGGCGGCAGGGAGGGAGCGGGUGGGGAGUGGGAGAGGCCGCCCGCCUCCCCGUCCAGCUCGGAGGACCUCCCAGCUGGUUCCCUCACCGUCAAAAGCAGGAAGGGAGCUGGCUCGGCGGGAUCAGCAAGCCAGCGGGCAAGAAGGCUCCAGGCUCCGCAGGGGCCACCCCACAUGGACUCGGGAACCGCCGAGCUUCACCCACAAGGGCCCACGGCCCAUCCUAUCACGGAUGAAAAGAUUACAGGACUGACAAUGAGGCCCUGGAGGGAUCUGAUGCAGCUGGCGGGGAGAAAGGGAACACGGUGUUUGGUUUUAUAAAUUCCAUUUUGGUGGAAUAGGAAGGCUGGAGUGCAGUGGCAUGAUCUCAACUCACUGUAACCCUCCGCCUCCCAGGCUCAACGAUCCUCCUGCCUCGGCCUCCCUAGCAGUUCGAACUAUAGGCGUGCACCACGACAUCCAGCUAAUUUUUGUAUCUGUUGGAGACACAGGGUCCUGCCAUGUUGUCCAGGCUGGUCUCCAAUUCCAGAGGCAAUAAUUGGGAGGCCAAGGCGAUCUGCCUACCAAUUAUUUUCUCUUAAAUGCAUUUUAAAGCUACAAAUUUUCUCCUGACUGCUUCAUGUAGGUUUUAAUAUUAUUUGCCAUGAAAUAUAUUUCACAGUGGAAUGACAGAUAAUUGGGAUAAGAAAUGGCAAUUCAAGGAGUUAUUUAAAUAUAGGGCUAAGAUUUGAAUUCUAGCUUACUGGGACCAAAGCUUGUGAAGUCUCAGGGUAUGGCUGAAUUAUAGUGCUCUUGUUAUUUCUAAAGAGUGUAUAAUUUUUAUUCUGAUAUCCCCUUUAACCCAUGUGCUUUUUCCUAAGAGUACAACUUAAGGAGGGCAUGUUUGAUUAUUUUAUUGUUUUAUAAUCAGUUAACUAUGCCCUGGUCCUAUAUGGUUUCAGCUUUUCAGCACUUGUUGAGACUUAAUUUGCCAUCUCACUUAUGGCCAAUUUUUGUCAAUAUUCUAUGUGAAUUUGAAAAUAAUGUAACUUUCCUAUUUUGAAUAUAAGAUGGUAUAGGCAUAAUUAUAGUUAUGAUUAAUCUUAUUAACCGUGUUCUUCAAAUUCUCCAUAUCCUCAGUAAGUUUCAGUCAACUAGAUCUGUCAAUUCCUAAGAAAGGUAUAUUAAACUUAUCACUGUGAUUGUUGACUUAUAUGCACAUAUGUGUAUGUAUCCUUGUUAAAUGCAAACAAUUCAUGGUCAUUCCUUAAUGGAGCACUACCUUUAUGAAUAUGAUAUACCCUUCUAGUGCCAUAUAUAAAUGUAUUUUUAAACCGACUUUAAAAAAAAAAAAAAAAGAGGAACUUGCUCUGUCACCAGGCCAGAGUGCAAAGGUGCAAUCAUAGCUCACUGCAGCCUUGACCUCCUAGGCUCAAGCAAUCCUCCUGCUUCAGCCUCCUAAGUAGCUGGGACUACAGGUGCAUGUAACCAUGCCUGGCUAAUAUUUUUACUUUUUGUAGAGACAGGGGUCUUGCUUUGUUGCCCAGGCUGAUCUUGAACUCUUGGCUUCAAGUGAUCCUCCUGCCUCAGCUUCCCAAAGUGCCAGGAUUACAUGUGUGACCCACCAUGUAAGCCCACAUUUUUCUAACUUCUACAGUAAUAAUAUCUAUAUCCUAUUUAUUUAUAACAUAAAUCUUACUUAGCUUGUUUUACUUCUCUUCACUCUUGCUUUCCCUACCACCCUUCUACAUCACCUGGAAUUUGAAUUCCAGGUUUUCUUUUUAAUUUUCUAGAAUCUAAAUUCACUUUGUUUAGCAAUAUCUUUUACCAAAUACAUGACCACCUUUGCUUCCAUUAUCUCACAUCUUCCCUUAUGAUCUUUUUAAAAUUAUUGCUGGAAUAGAAUUCUGAAAAGUCACCCACACUUAAAUGAUAGUUUAAUUGAAUUCAAAAUUAUUUUCCCUAGAUUUUAAAAAAUAAUGCUUCGUGUCUUCUUAUAUCCAGUGGAGCCCAAAUGAGUUGGAUGUAAAUUUGACUUCCAUUUCUUCAUAAGCAUUUUCCCUGAAUGUGUUUAGAAAUUUCUCUUUGUUCCCAAAUUUUGUCACUGUGAAUCUAGGUGAGGGUCCUUCUCAUCAUGUAUGCUCAGAAUUUAAUAGGACCUUGCAAUCUAAGGAUGUAUGUAUGCAUUUAGAUCCUGUGAAAUAUCCUCCUUUUAUUCCUUUAUUUUCUCAUGACUAUGGUUGCAUACUACACAAUAGUAGGUUGUACACUACACAUUGGCAAAUCUUACUAUUCAAAUGACAGCCCCUGAAAUUGUGCAGUGCACAAUCAGCAAAUCUUAUUUGGUAGAUUUGUAUUUUAUUUCUUACAUGUUUUCAAUUCUCCCCUCCUCUCUAACUCCUCAUCCUGUUACAUGAGUUUGGAACAUCUGGAUCUAUUUUUCAUAUCAUUUAACUUUUCUUUCAUCUCUGCAUGCAUCUUUUUAUAUGGCUUUGUGGAGGAAUUUCUGGCUUAUCUUGAUCAUCAUGAGGACGGAGAAACUCAAACUAUGUGUUUCCUGUGCUUUCACACUACAACAAUCAACACAGAAGACUGACGGCGGAGGGGGGUUCUCCAUACAGCAAGCAAGCAAUCAGUUCUGCAGUGGACACCAGCUGAGUGUACUCCAAUUCAAUUUUUACACUAUUUAUCAGGAGAUCCCACAGGUUGAGGACUGAGUCUACCAGACUGCCCCCACUUCAAAUGCCAGUUCCAAGUCUGGGCCUCCAGAACUUCUGACCAACCAUUUCCAAGCUGGGGUUCCCAUGGCUUCCUCCUUUGCAUUGUAUUAAUUUGCUAGAGCAGUUCAUGAAACUCAGAGAAACACUUGGGUUUACUGGUUUAUAACAAAAAAUACAGAUGAAAAGAUGCAUAAGGUAAAGUAUGGGGGAAGGAGCAUGGAGCUUCCAUGCACCUCCACUGGGUGCGCCGCCCUUCAGGAACCUCUACAUGUUCAGCUAUCCAGAAGCUCUCCAAGCCCUGUCCUUUUGGGUCUUUGUAUGGAGGCUCCAUUGCAUAGGAAUCACUGAUUAAACCAUUGGCCAUUGGUGAUCGGCUUAACCUUCAGCCCCUCUCCCCUCCCCGGAAGUUGGAGGUGGGCUGAAAGUCCCAACUCUCUAAUCCUCCCCUUGUUCUUUCUGGUCACCAGCCCCCAUCCUGAAGCUACCUAGGGGCUGCCAGACAUCAGUCAACUCAUUAAUAAACAAAACGACAUCACACUUUGGUGUUUCUAAGGAUUUUAGGAGUUGUAUGUCAGGAAAUGGGGUUGAAGACCAAAUAUAUAUUUCAUAAUAGCACAAUCUUUCAGCUUAUUUAUUUUCUCUUGGCUUUAUCUAUCCUGUUCUGGAUUUAUCCCUUGUUGAAUUUUUAUGUCAAUAAUCAAAUUUUAAAUUUCCAAGAUGUGGGAGCGCCCAGUUACUUGGCACAUUUUCCUGCCUCCUUGAACCAAAUGACCGCACUCACUGCUGGGGUCAAAGAUGUCAGUCACCAGCCAGACAUGGUGGUUCACACCUGUAAACCCAGAACUUUGGGAGGCCAAGGUCGGUGGAUCCCUUGAGCCCAGGAGUUUGAGACCAGCCUGGGCAAAAUGGUGAAACCCCAUCUCUAUAAAAAAUACAAAAAUUAGCUGGUUGUGGUGGUACAUGCCUGUGGUCCCAACUACUAGGGAGGCUGAGGUGGGAGGAGAGCUUGAGCCCAGGAGGUUGGGGCUGCAGUGAGUUGAGAUCGUGCCACUGCACUCCAGCAUGGGUAAUAGAGUGAGACCCGGUCUCUAGAAAAUAAAUAAAAAGACUUCAGUCACCAAGGUAAGGAGAUGGGUGGAUAUUCCUACUGUGGUACCUGAACUGUCAUCCUGUCAGUUGCCCCAAGACCAACUUUUGUCUCCUGGUUCCAAAACAUGUGGAUCAUUUUUUGGUCCACUCCUGUCUUCUGCAGAAGUCCUCCUUGGCACUCUUCACUGUUACCCCAUCUGCCAUCUUUGUCAAUUUUUUAUCAUUUCUAGGAAUUUGGGGUGGAAUAUGAGAAGAAAGCAACAUAUCUUCAGGACACAAUCUUGAAUCAGUAGCUAUUUUUCACCUGUGCAUUAGAGAUGGGAAACUUGCAGAGCACUUAACAGGACUUCCCUACGAUCACCAACUAGUAUUUAUUGAAUUGUUUAUUAGUAGGAAACAUUAAGCAAUUAUCCUUCAUAAAAACAUUAUGAAGUAAGUAAGCAUUACUAUAGUCCCAGUUUUAAGAUGAGAAAACACAGAUUAAAAACAUCCUAAAGAGCAGAGCCAAGUUACACUCCAGGUGGUCCGUCUCAGAAGCCUGAACUCUUUACUAAUACACUAUACGAUGGCAUAUCCGGGUGAUUUUGGGAACACAUUAUACUUCUACCCUGCCAGGAGGGCCAAAUGUAUUUACUUUGUCAUCUCUGUGCUGUAAGGGGCCACAUUUCUACCCAUCAACUCAAUCUACAUUACUCAAGCAUGCUUGUAAUUCAUAGGUUAUUUCCUCAUGCCAGGAAGAACAGUCACAGUUCUGUUUCAUUACGCUUCUAUCUUUGAGACUCAAAUUCCCCCCUCCCCACUAUAAAUUAUUUGCACAUACUAGUCUAGAAAAAUUUAAUAUGCCACUUUCCCCCACAAACACAUCUCCACAAUCAUAAACACCAUGAAAUAAACUUCUCUUAGACAAAUGAAAAAGUUUCUUACCUUUUUCUCCAGGCUAAGGAUCAAAAUUCAAGUUUUACUUGGUUAACUCUCCUGCUAAUCUGAAAACUGUCUUCUACUCUAUAGAUGCUUGCUGUUUCAGGGGGGCAGGCGGGAGUUAUUUAAGAAUAAUUUCCAUUACCUAAUACCUUGAUACUAAUGUGAAAAAAAUUAUGAAAAUCAGAGGUCAAACACUUAAAAAGAUCCAUGAAAAAUCUCCUACAAAGACACUUAAAUAAGUAAAAUCAUCAAAUUUUCAUAAUGUGACAGGGAGAAGAUUGAAGAAACCAAAAAAAGCAAGUAUGUUCCUUUGCUGGAACUAAUCCUAUGGCUAAUAUAUAUACAAGUUAAUCAGCAUACCUUUCUCCUGCUCAUUAUUCUACAUAUAAUAUGGGUCUUAAGUAAGUAAACAUUCCAAACUAGAUGAAAUACAGUUCCAGAGAGAAAUUAUAAGUAGUUUAAGACUUAACCCUUUGUAUUAGAGUUCUCCAGAGGGACAAAACUAAUAGGGGAGACAUAUAUCUAUAGAUAUAGAUAGAUGAUAAUAGAUUAGAUACAGAUAUAUUAAAAGGAGUUUAUGAAGGAGAAUUGGCUCACAUGAUUACAAGGCAAAGUCCUACAGUGGGCCGUCUGCAAGCUGAGGAAGAAAGAAGCCAGUAGUGGUUCAGUCUGAGUCCAAAAGCCUCAAGAGUAGGGAAGCCCACAGUGCAGCCUUCAGUCUGUGGCCUAAGGCCCAAAAGCCCCAGGCAAGCCACUGGUGUUAAGUCCAAGAGUCCAAAGGCCAAAGAACCUGGAGUCUGAUGUCCAAAGGCAGGAGGAAUGGAUGGAGGCAUCCAGCACAGGAGAGGGAUGAAAGCCAGAACUCUGCAAGCCAGCUUAGCCCACCUUCUCUCUCCUGCUUUGUUGUAGCUACCCUGGCAGCCGACUGGAUGGUGCCAACCCACAUUGAGGGACAUCUGUGACACAAAGACUGUGACACACCCACAGGUCGAUUAACAUGAGGACCCAACACCUAUUAAAACAUCCACACUCCUGAGAACACUAAAAACCAACCACCUCGUCAGGUCCCACCUCCAGUCUAGCUGAAUCAGGAAACCUCAGGAGAAGCACCUGGAAGCAGGUUUAACAAGCGCAAAGGUGACUCUUAUAAUUGGGAAAGUUUGGAACCAAGACAGGGUUCUUGUCCUGGAGGAAGUAUUUUCCUGUGGAGAAGGACCUGUAAACAGCCUAUGAAGUGCUCAGCUUUCACCAAGAAAAGAAAAACAUGGGCUGAUAGGGUUAAGGAAACGUUUGACUGAAGAGGAUUAAAUCCUGAAGGUUAGGGAUGUCUUUGGGCGCUGGGGUCUCUCAAUCACCAAAGAUCGACAUUACAGGCCAGGUAGCUCUUUGUCCCCCCAGAGGACUGUCCUGUGCCUUAUGCUUAGCACUCCUGGCCUCUGCCCAUUGGAUACUUCUAGCACCUCCCCCGCAACACACACACACCUGACAACCCAAAACAUCUACAGAUAUUGCCAAAUACUCCACAGGGGGUGGGGUGGUGGCAAUAUAUCUCCCUGUUUGAAGUCACUGGAAUGGAAGUUAGGGGAGGAUGGCUAAGUCAGGACUUGCAAAAAGGCUAAGGGACGAAAGCACAUGGCUAUAUUAGACAAAGUUUGUGACAGACGCCUGUAGGUAUAUGGUAAGGAAAACAGAUUAAAACACUAAGAAAUAGUAAGAGGUCGGACCGAGGGUUUCUCAUCUGUAUGGGAAAUCUCAUCUCGUUCAUUACUUUCAGAAACAAAAAGGAAAACGACUUUAAAGAUACAGGUUAAAGGCCGAAGGGGUGUAGAACCACCCCCCGCCUCCUUCCCUCCAUCCCUCCCAAAUAUCCCAGAACGAGUCAAACCUUUCGAAUCUCGUAGCACAGAUAACAAGCAACUCAGUAAGACUGGACGGGGAUGACUGAGGGCCAACUCAUUACAGGACUACAGGAAACUCCUUAGUCCUAAACCCGAAUGC
RNAcentral lists this long non-coding RNA (6837 nucleotides) under Homo sapiens (human). Its description in RNAcentral is "HSALNT0014852". Lineage: Eukaryota; Metazoa; Chordata; Mammalia; Primates; Hominidae. The record is from RNAcentral.